UAGGGAAUCUUCGGCAAUGGACGGAAGUCUGACCGAGCAACGCCGCGUGAGUGAAGAAGGUUUUCGGAUCGUAAAGCUCUGUUGUAAGAGAAGAACGAGUGUGAGAGCGGAAAGUUCACACUGUGACGGUAUCUUACCAGAAAGGGACGGCUAACUACGUGCCAGCAGCCGCGGUAAUACGUAGGUCCCGAGCGUUGUCCGGAUUUAUUGGGCGUAAAGCGAGCGCAGGCGGUUAGAUAAGUCUGAAGUUAAAGGCUGUGGCUUAACCAUAGUACGCUUUGGAAACUGUUUAACUUGAGUGCAAGAGGGGAGAGUGGAAUUCCAUGUGUAGCGGUGAAAUGCGUAGAUAUAUGGAGGAACACCGGUGGCGAAAGCGGCUCUCUGGCUUGUAACUGACGCUGAGGCUCGAAAGCGUGGGGAGCAAACAGGAUUAGAUACCCUGGUAGUCCACGCCGUAAACGAUGAGUGCUAGGUGUUAGACCCUUUCCGGGGUUUAGUGCCGCAGCUAACGCAUUAAGCACUCCGCCUGGGGAGUACGACCGCAAGGUUG
Molecule: ribosomal RNA, 550 nt
Filed under: uncultured bacterium
Lineage: Bacteria
Description: bacterial SSU rRNA
Rfam family: Bacterial small subunit ribosomal RNA
Source: RNAcentral